This 387-nucleotide ribosomal RNA is filed under the name uncultured bacterium. RNAcentral describes it as "bacterial SSU rRNA". It matches the Rfam family "Bacterial small subunit ribosomal RNA", at positions 30 to 417 of the family's 1533-position model. The record is from RNAcentral.
AUUGAACGCUGGCGGCAUGCCUUACACAUGCAAGUCGAACGGCAGCGGACCUUCGGGUGCCGGCGAGUGGCGAACGGGUGAGUAAUGCAUCGGAACGUGCCAUUGAGUGGGGGAUAACGUAGCGAAAGUUACGCUAAUACCGCAUAUUCUGUGAGCAGGAAAGCAGGGGACCGCAAGGCCUUGCGCUCUUUGAGCGGCCGAUGUCAGAUUAGCUAGUUGGUGAGGUAAAGGCUUACCAAGGCGACGAUCUGUAGCGGGUCUGAGAGGAUGAUCCGCCACACUGGAACUGAGACACGGUCCAGACUCCUACGGGAGGUAGCAGUGGGGAAUUUUUGGACAAUGGGCGCAAGCCUGAUCCAGCCAAUGCCGCGUGAGUGAAGAAGGCCU